UACGUAGGGGGCAAGCGUUGUCCGGAUUUAUUGGGCGUAAAGAGCGUGUAGGCGGCCAUGUAGGUCCGUUGUGAAAACUCGAGGCUCAACCUCGAGACGCCGAUGGAAACCAUCUGGCUAGAGUCCGGAAGAGGAGAGUAGAAUUCCUGGUGUAGCGGUGAAAUGCGCAGAUAUCAGGAAGAACACCCGUGGCGAAGGCGGCUCUCUGGGACGGUACUGACGCUGAGACGCGAAAGCGUGGGGAGCGAACAGG
Molecule: ribosomal RNA, 253 nt
Filed under: uncultured bacterium
Lineage: Bacteria
Description: partial 16S ribosomal RNA
Rfam family: Bacterial small subunit ribosomal RNA
Source: RNAcentral